GUGCUUGCUUCGGCAGUAUGUAUACUAAAAUUGGAAUGGUAAAAAAAAGAUUAGCAUGGUCCCUAUACAAGGAUGACACGCAAAUUCGUGAAGCAUUCCAUAUUUUU
Molecule: small nuclear RNA, 107 nt
Organism: Ochotona princeps (American pika)
Lineage: Eukaryota; Metazoa; Chordata; Mammalia; Lagomorpha; Ochotonidae
Source: Ensembl